Long non-coding RNA from Mauremys reevesii (Reeves's turtle), 787 nucleotides. RefSeq lists it as uncharacterized. NCBI's taxonomy places the organism in Eukaryota, Metazoa, Chordata, Testudines, Geoemydidae. The record is from RefSeq and is a predicted model, not a curated record. The transcript has 2 exons.
UGGUUCUGGUCCUGCCAUGAGUGCAGGGGACUGGACUUGUUGUCAUCUCGAGGUCCCUUCCAGUUCUGUGAUUCUAAACCGUCCACACUGUUCUGUGCAGCGCUAUUGAUUUAAGGCGGGAAUUGCUGUUGAUAGGCAGGGGGUGAAAUCUGUGGUCUGCUUGAGGGACCCAUCUGGGCACUGAUGGAAGGGGACAGAGUUGAGGUUGUUUGGCAGGAGUAUCCUUAACCCAGCAUCUCCUACUUCGCUAGCCAUUGAAUGUUGAGUAUUCAGUGCUCCCAUUCUGAAGAGGUAUGAAGAGCACAGAGCAGUGCUGACCCCCUACAAUGAUAAAAAAAAUUUUUGCAUGUGAUUAAUGGAAAUCCAUGGAAGAGUCAGGUGAUGACUGUUCCCUUGGGAUAGGAGUCCCCGUAUCUACUAACUACGCUGAAACCUGCCUUGUGAGAGAUGCUAAUAUACUCUCUCUUCUCCUCCUCCUCUGCACAGCAAAUGACCAAGGAUCUAGUGACUCUGAUGUAUCUGCCAGGGCUUAACAGAGCCUGUUGGAGUCUGUGCCACAACCUGAGGGGAUCCCAGAGAGGAAGAUUGAUGAGCUCUGCUCUGUCUCUGUAGAAGAACCAAUCAACCUCUCCCUAGCUUUUCUCUGGCACUUGGAGCAUCCCGUGUGGGAUUUCUGGCCUCAUCUGUCUGCUCACUGGACCACUUUUUGCUUUUCAGAUGCAAUAGUAAUGUUUUAUUUGCAGAAAAUAAUUUUUAAAAUUUUAAUGGAUAAAAACUUUUAGUAAGA